Molecule: ribosomal RNA, 253 nt
Filed under: uncultured bacterium
Lineage: Bacteria
Description: partial 16S ribosomal RNA
Rfam family: Bacterial small subunit ribosomal RNA
Source: RNAcentral
UACGAAGGGGGCGAGCGUUGUUCGGAAUUACUGGGCGUAAAGGGCGCGUAGGCGGUUCGUACAGUCAGACGUGAAAUUCCUGGGCUCAACCUGGGGGCUGCGUUUGAUACGUGCGGACUUGAGUGCGGAAGAGGGUCGUGGAAUUCCCAGUGUAGAGGUGAAAUUCGUAGAUAUUGGGAAGAACACCGGUGGCGAAGGCGGCGACCUGGUCCGAUACUGACGCUGAGGCGCGAAAGCGUGGGGAGCAAACAGG